UGCCAGCAGCCGCGGUAAUACGAAUGGGGCAAGCGUUGUUCGGAAUCACUGGGCUUAAAGCGUGCGCAGGCGGACUAUCAAGUCAGGAGUGAAAUCCCAGGGCUCAACCCUGGAACUGCUUCUGAAACUGAUAGUCUAGAAUCCGGGAGAGGUCAGGAGAAUUCCCAGUGUAGAGGUGAAAUUCGCAGAGAUUGGGAGGAAUAUCAGUGGCGUAGGCGCCUGACUGGACCGGUAUUGACGCUCAGGCACGAAAGCGUGGGGAGCAAACAGGAUUAGAUA
RNAcentral lists this ribosomal RNA (279 nucleotides) under uncultured bacterium. Its description in RNAcentral is "partial 16S ribosomal RNA". It matches the Rfam family "Bacterial small subunit ribosomal RNA", at positions 506 to 784 of the family's 1533-position model. The record is from RNAcentral.